GUGGGGAAUAUUGGACAAUGGGCGCAAGCCUGAUCCAGCCAUGCCGCGUGAGUGAUGAAGGCCCUAGGGUUGUAAAGCUCUUUCACCGGUGAAGAUAAUGACGGUAACCGGAGAAGAAGCCCCGGCUAACUUCGUGCCAGCAGCCGCGGUAAUACGAAGGGGGCUAGCGUUUUUCGGAAUUACUGGGCGUAAAGCGCACGUAGGCGGAUAUUUAAGUCAGGGGUGAAAUCCCGGGGCUCAACCCCGGAACUGCCUUUGAUACUGGGUAUCUAGAGUCCAGAAGAGGUGAGUGGAAUUCCGAGUGUAGAGGUGAAAUUCGUAGAUAUUCGGAGGAACACCAGUGGCGAAGGCGGCUCACUGGUCUGGUACUGACGCUGAGGUGCGAAAGCGUGGGGAGCAAACAGGAUUAGAAACCCCUGUAGUCC
Molecule: ribosomal RNA, 425 nt
Filed under: uncultured bacterium
Lineage: Bacteria
Description: bacterial SSU rRNA
Rfam family: Bacterial small subunit ribosomal RNA
Source: RNAcentral